AUUGAACGCUGGCGGCAGGCCUAACACAUGCAAGUCGAGCGAGCCGAGGAUGGGUGAGUAAUGUAUGGGGACUGCCCGAUAGAGGGGGACAACUUCUGGAAACUGUGGCUAAUAUCGCAAACUAUCGGUAAACCCAUAUGGGAUUAGAUAGUAGGUGGGGUAAAGGCUCACCUAGGCGACGAUCUCUAGCUGGUCUGAGAGGAUGAUCAGCCACACUGGGACUGAGACACGGCCCAGACUCCUACGGAGGCAGCAGUGGGGAAUAUGGCACAAUGGGCGCAAGCCUGAUGCAGCCAUGCCGCGUGUAUGAAGAAGGCCUUAGGGUUGUAAAGUACUUUCAGCGGGGAGGCGUUACCCGCAGAAGAAGCACCGGCUAACUCCGUGCCAGCAGCCGCGGUAAUUC
Molecule: ribosomal RNA, 403 nt
Filed under: uncultured bacterium
Lineage: Bacteria
Description: partial 16S ribosomal RNA
Rfam family: Bacterial small subunit ribosomal RNA
Source: RNAcentral